RNAcentral lists this ribosomal RNA (391 nucleotides) under uncultured bacterium. RNAcentral describes it as "bacterial SSU rRNA". It matches the Rfam family "Bacterial small subunit ribosomal RNA", at positions 28 to 418 of the family's 1533-position model. The record is from RNAcentral.
GACGAACGCUAGCGGCGUGCCUAAUGUAUGCAAGUCGAGCGAGGCGUCGGACUUCGGUCCGGCGUCGAGCGGCGAACGGUUGAGUAACACGUAGGCAACCUGCCCCAGAGCCGGGGAUAGCCCGCCGAAAGGCGGCGUAAUACCGGAUGUGGCGGAGGGAGGCAUCUUCCUCUUGCUAAAGGAGCAAUUCACUCUGGGAGGGGCCUGCGGCCUAUCAGCUAGUUGGUGAGGAACGGCUCACCAAGGCGACGACGGGUAGCUGGUCUGAGAGGAUGGUCAGCCAGACAGGGACUGAGACACGGCCCUGACUCCUUUGGGGGGCAGCAAUGAGGGAUAUUGCACAAUGGGGGAAACCCUGAUGCAGCGACGCCGCGUGGGCGAUGAAGUCCUC